GUUGAUUCGACCCGAAGGGGAAAAGUCCUGGACGAUUGUGCAGAGUGCAGGUGCUGCUCACAAACGCUCCGUCAAUGGCAUCCUCGGUCUUCUGUGCAGGGAACACUUCCCUGGCCUGGUUGAGUACGGUGGAGUGACGGAGCCGGCCUAUACGUUCGACCACUACGCCGCCGCCCCUGAUGCUGAAGAUCGGGAUGGCAGGGUAUUCAACAACAAGGCGGAGCGGGUGAAACAAGAGCUGUGGGAUUUCUUCAGAUGUGAGCAUGGAUUUGAGGACAAAGCUGAUGUGGUGGCCACCAAAGUAUGUAAG
Molecule: long non-coding RNA, 310 nt
Organism: Panicum hallii
Lineage: Eukaryota; Viridiplantae; Streptophyta; Magnoliopsida; Poales; Poaceae
Exons: 3
Source: RefSeq, a predicted model, not a curated record